RNAcentral lists this ribosomal RNA (383 nucleotides) under uncultured eukaryote. RNAcentral describes it as "partial 18S ribosomal RNA". It matches the Rfam family "Eukaryotic small subunit ribosomal RNA", at positions 592 to 976 of the family's 1831-position model. The record is from RNAcentral.
CAAUAGCGUAUAUUAAAGUUGUUGCAGUUAAAAAGCUCGUAGUUGGAUUUGUGGUGUGUCCAGUCGGCCUUUGCUCUCUGAGUGAUUGUGCUGUACUGGUCUGCCAUGUUUGGGUGGAAUCUGUGUGGCAUUAAGUUGUCGUGCAGGGGACGCCCAUCGUUUACUGUGAAAAAAUUAGAGUGUUCAAAGCAGGCUUAUGCCGUUGAAUAUAUUAGCAUGGAAUAAUGAUAUAGGACCUUGGUACUAUUUUGUUGGUUUGCGCACUAAGGUAAUGAUUAAGAGGGACAGUUGGGGGUAUUUGUAUUCCAUUGUCAGAGGUGAAAUUCUUAGAUUUUUGGAAGACAAACUACUGCGAAAGCAUUUACCAAGGAUGUUUUCAUUAA